UCUCGAUUUCAGAAGAGCUAUUUUAAUUGUUGCUGUUUCUAACCUAAUUAAUUUAAUUUUAGGGGAGAUAUUCCAUUCGAUUUUGAAGGUAUCUAGUUUUUUAAGAAAUAAAUUUAAUUUAGACUUUAGUUAUCAAGUGAUUUAUUUAUUAAUUAUUUGUUAAUUUUAGUUGAGAUAUUAGGGGAUAAGCUCUAAUAUUAUCCUAAAAAUUUUAUUUUAUUUAAUUUUAGUAGGCUUUAAAUUAGCCAUCAUUAUUGAGUUCGUUGUAGUUCAAAUAAAUAAGGUUAAUGAUUUUCUUUAUUUUAGUAUUUUAUUAAAAUGAUGUUUUUAAUUUUAUAAAAUUUAUAAUAAUGAUUAAAUUAGUAUAUUUUUAUUGUAUAUCAUUUAUUUUUUGGUAUAAUUAAAUAAAGAAUUCGGCAAAUUUAACACUCGCCUGUUUAUCAAAAACAUGUCCUCUUGUUUAUAUAUGAGGUCUGACCUGCCCGGUGAAAAUUAUUUUAACGGCCGCAGUAUUUUGACUGUGCAAAGGUAGCAUAAUCAUUAGUCUUUUAAUAGGGGGCUGGUAUGAAAGGUUUGACGAGGUGUUAACUGUUUCAUUUAAUUUGUAUUUAGAAUUUAACUUUUCAGUUAAAAGGCUGAAAUUAUAUUGGAAGACGAGAAGACCCUAUAGAGCUUUAUAAUUGAAAUUUUAAUUAUUUUUUGAUUAUUAUUUAUUAUUAUUGUUUUAAUUAUUUUGUUGGGGUGACAAAAAUAUAUAAUUAACUUUUUUAUUUAAUUAACAUUGAUUUAUGAAUAUUAGAUCCAUUAUUAUUGAUUGUUAGAUUAAGUUACCUUAGGGAUAACAGCGUAAUCUUCCUUCAGAGUUCAUAUUUACGGGAAGGCUUGCGACCUCGAUGUUGGAUUAAGAUAAUAGUUAGGUGUANCCGCUUAAU
This 932-nucleotide ribosomal RNA is filed under the name Gomphus pulchellus (western clubtail). Its description in RNAcentral is "16S ribosomal RNA". The stretch from base 393 to 640 matches the Rfam family "Archaeal large subunit ribosomal RNA", at positions 1786 to 2143 of the family's 2987-position model. Lineage: Eukaryota; Metazoa; Arthropoda; Insecta; Odonata; Gomphidae. The record is from RNAcentral.